Molecule: long non-coding RNA, 626 nt
Filed under: Anas platyrhynchos platyrhynchos (common mallard)
Lineage: Eukaryota; Metazoa; Chordata; Aves; Anseriformes; Anatidae
Description: lncRNA (ENSAPLG00000019485.1)
Source: RNAcentral
UGUCUGUGAAUUCAUGUGAAAAUGAAUUAUGAAGCUGAGGCCUGGCCUGCAUUAGGAAGUUGUUUUAAAUUAAUUUGCUUUAAAUUAAUUUUCUCUACAGUCAAAUGGGGCCUGUGGGUGUUUGGAAAGGCCAGCUAUCAGUUUCCUAUUAUCAUACACUAUGGGAAGGAGUUCUCAUCUUCAUAACCCUGCUCCAGAGAGGUUUGCCCUUCAGGACAAUAGGGUGACGUAGUGUGAGAACCAUAUGGAUGGGAAGAAGUAACCUAGACCCAACAUGCAAGUUCAGGGAUUUCAAGACAGGAGGCCAAACACUGAAACAACAUCUGACAAAACUGACCUCAGCAGAGGCUGUUCUGAAGCAACGAGCAAGCUGAUCCUGCAGUCCACUGAAUUAGUAUCUGCAAAGGGCUGGAUAAAUGAUCAAACACCUUGUAGAAGAAUUCUACUAUGCCCCGGAAAUACAUGUUCUCUCCCGAGGCACGAGAGAUUCCGAAGCCACUCUGGCAUCUUUGCAAUGAGCUGCAAGGUUGACUUCUUCAGAAGAUCUGUGGUCCUUGCCACUGGCAAGGGUGUUUCCACAUGCUCCUGCAGUCCUUUCUGUACUUCAUAACAGCUGCACAGUAGAA